AUGUAUUAUUCAAAUGUUAAUUCGGUUUCGAAAAACCGGGCUGGGAGAAAGAGAAAGCAGCCAGUGUCAUCUUCAGGUCCUGCCAAUAGCACGGGAAAGCAAACACAGCUGGGCCUUCCCCGAGUUCAGCCCCUUCAACUCCCUCAACGCACACUCCUGCAGAUGUAAUCUCAAUGCCUGCCUUGCCCCAUAGUGGUAGCUCCUCCAAGCCUCUGAUGGCACUGGGACUCUUACAUCACCAUCAAAUCAGUUGGCUGAUAUGGAUCCAUUUGUAGAGGAUGGUUCUCUUGAUGAUAAUGUCGGGACUUUUUUAUCCCAUGAUGAUGUUAAUUUGAAUUUGACUUUAGGGUUCACAUCUACGGAAGUACACUCUGUUAAAGCAAGCACAAGCAAGGUUACUAGCUGUCACUUCUCAUCGGAUGGAAAGUUUCUUGCUAGUGGUGGCCAUGAUAAAAAGGCUGUAUUGUGGACACAGAUACAUUAAAGGUAAAAUCAACCCUUGAAGAACAUUCAGCUUUGAUCACUGAUGUUUCGUUUUAGUCCAAGCAUGCCACGUCUCGUCUUGCAACGUCUUCAUUCGACAAAACUGUCAGGGUCUGGGAUGCUGACAAUCCUGGCUAUUCUCUCCGUACCUUUAUGGGACAUUCUGCCUCUGUUAUGUCAUUAGAUUUCCACCCAAAUAAAGAUGACCUUAUCUGCUCCUGCGACUCGGAUGGUCAGAUACGCUACUGGAGUAUUAACAAUGGCAGCUGCUCAAGUGUGUUCAAGGGUGGUACAGCACAGAUGAGAUUUCAACCCCGCCAUGGAAGAUUUCUUGCUGCAGCGGCAGAUAAUGUUGUAUCUAUACUGGAUGUCGAGACACAGGCUUGUCGGCAUUCAUUACAGGGGCAUACUAAGCCUGUCCAUUCUGUGUGCUGGGAUCCAUCUGGCGAGUUCCUUGCAUCUGUCAGUGAGGACUCUGUAAGAGUUUGGACACUCAGAUCAGGAGGUGAAGGGGAAUGUGUUCAUGAGUUGAGCUGCAAUGGAAGUAAAUUUCAUUCAUGUGUUUUCCAUCCGACGUAUACUUCCCUGCUGGUCAUUGGCUGUUAUCAGUCAUUGGAGUUGUGGAACAUGACAGAGAACAAGACAAUGACUCUAUCAGCGCAUGAUGGACUUAUUGCUGCUUUGGCUAUGUCAACUGUUACGGGUUUGGUUGCUUCGGCUAGUCAUGAUAAGUUUGUCAAGCUCUGGAAGUGAAAUGAUUGUUACUCUGCUUUAACUGUACUUCACAAAAUAGGAAUAGGUUUCUACCAGUCUUGGUCCAAUGCUUUGUAGUUUGUCUUUUGGUUGCUCGAUUGAUCGUCGUCUUUUGCUUUUUUGGAUCUCGAACUUCGGCUCCAUAUGACCCCCAGAAACUGACCUUGUAAGAUUAUUGUUGUAUUUGUCUACCUGUUACUAUAAUAGUAAACCUGGAGAUCUGUCAUGCUUCAUGGAACUCUUGUAACGCUCUUCAAACAGUAAAAUAGAAUUUUUAUGAUUCCUUUCUCA
RNA transcript from Prunus dulcis (almond), 1527 nucleotides. It is a transcript of the gene named transcriptional corepressor LEUNIG-like, with no coding region annotated. Lineage: Eukaryota; Viridiplantae; Streptophyta; Magnoliopsida; Rosales; Rosaceae. The transcript has 9 exons. The record is from RefSeq and is a predicted model, not a curated record.